UUUGACUAUGUUGAACCUAUGAGAAUUUAAUUGGACUUUUUGAAGUUUCUUUGAAUUGAAUUUGAGGUUCCAUUUGGUUUGUUUAUUUUUUUAUUUGUAUUUUCUUUUAAUGCAAAAAAUACCAAAAAAUAUCAUUGACUUCUUGACUUGUUAUCUUCAUUUCUCUUCUGUUUGGCGUUGAUUGAGGUUGAAUUGAUUCAACUUUCAUCAAAUUCAUUGGAUCUUGUGGUUUGAAAAUCC
Molecule: long non-coding RNA, 240 nt
Filed under: Lathyrus oleraceus (garden pea)
Lineage: Eukaryota; Viridiplantae; Streptophyta; Magnoliopsida; Fabales; Fabaceae
Description: Pisum sativum (pea) long non-coding RNA (PSAT_LNC033452)
Source: RNAcentral